CAAAGACCACCCCAAAUAAUGUAUAGAAAGAGAGAACCAACAACAAUAUUGACUUAGUUUCUCUCUGAACCUCUAAUGCAAGAUAUUCCAUGAGUUGUUGCGUGUUGCAGUCAAUCCAUGAAACAAUAAUAGCAUAUUCUUUACAUACGAUUACACCUCCCAUUUCCGAACUCUGCUAACAAUCAGAUCAUAUAUAUAAAAUACUUGAGCUACUAAUCCGUAUAACAGAACAAACUGAGAAGAAGCAUAGAUCACCCAAAAUAAUGUAAAAAAAAGGUAACAACCAACAAUGUUGACAUACUUUCUAUUUGAACCUCCAAUGAGAGAUCUUUCAUGAUUUGUUGCAUGUCAUAGCCAAUCCAUGAAAUAAUAAUAUCAUAUUUGUUACAUGAAGGUACAACUUCCUUUUUCGAACGCAGCUAACAAUAAUACCAUAGAUAAAAAUACUUGAGCUACUAAUCUGUAUAAUAGAACAAAUUGAGAAGAAGCGAAGAUCACCCAAAAUAAUGUAUGAAAAGAGAGAAUCAUUAACAAUAUUGACUUACUUUCUCUUGGAACCUCCAUUGCAAGAUCUUCCAUGAUUUGUUUAUCUGCAUAAAAU
Molecule: long non-coding RNA, 601 nt
Filed under: Solanum tuberosum (potato)
Lineage: Eukaryota; Viridiplantae; Streptophyta; Magnoliopsida; Solanales; Solanaceae
Description: long non-coding RNA (STUB_LNC004767)
Source: RNAcentral